This 659-nucleotide ribosomal RNA is filed under the name uncultured haloarchaeon. RNAcentral's name for it is "bacterial SSU rRNA". It matches the Rfam family "Archaeal small subunit ribosomal RNA", at positions 25 to 683 of the family's 1478-position model. Lineage: Archaea; Methanobacteriati; Methanobacteriota; Halobacteria; Halobacteriales; Halobacteriaceae. The record is from RNAcentral.
CAUUGCUAUCGGAGUUCGACUCAGCCAUGCUAGUCGCACGGGUUUAGACCCGUGGCAAAUAGCUCAGUAACACGUGGUCAAACUGCCUUACAGAUCGGAAUAACCUCGGGAAACUGAGGCUAAUGCCGAAUAGGACUUUCACGCUGGAGUGCGGAAAGUCCGAAACGUUCAGGCGCUGUAGGAUGUGGCUGCGGCCGAUUAGGUAGACGGUGGGGUAACGGCCCACCGUGCCGAUAAUCGGUACAGGUUGUGAGAGCAAGAGCCUGGAGACGGAAUCUGAGACAAGAUUCCGGGCCCUACGGGGCGCAGCAGGCGCGAAACCUUUACACUGCACGACAGUGCGAUAGGGGAACUCCGAGUGCGAGGGCAUACAACGCCCUCGCUUUUGUAGACCCUAAGGCGGUCUACGAACAAGUGCUGGGCAAGACCGGUGCCAGCCGCCGCGGUAAUACCGGCAGCACGAGUGAUGGCCGAUUUUAUUGGGCCUAAAGCGUCCGUAGCUGGCUGAACAAGUCUGUCGGGAAAUCCAGUGGCUCAACCACUGGGCGUCCGGCGGAAACUGUUCGGCUUGGGACCGGAAGACUCGAGGGGUACGUUCGGGGUAGGAGUGAAAUCCCGUAAUCCUGAACGGACCACCGAUGGCGAAAGCACCUCGAGAG